RNAcentral lists this ribosomal RNA (1495 nucleotides) under uncultured marine bacterium. Its description in RNAcentral is "bacterial SSU rRNA". It matches the Rfam family "Bacterial small subunit ribosomal RNA". The record is from RNAcentral.
GAGUUUGAUCAUGGCUCACAUUGAACGCUGGCGGCAGGCCUAACACAUGCAAGUCGAGCGGUAACAGAAAGUAGCUUGCUACUUUGCUGACGAGCGGCGGACGGGUGAGUAAUGCUUGGGAACAUGCCUUGAGGUGGGGGACAACAGUUGGAAACGACUGCUAAUACCGCAUAAUGUCUACGGACCAAAGGGGGCUUCGGCUCUCGCCUUUAGAUUGGCCCAAGUGGGAUUAGCUAGUUGGUGAGGUAAUGGCUCACCAAGGCGACGAUCCCUAGCUGGUUUGAGAGGAUGAUCAGCCACACUGGGACUGAGACACGGCCCAGACUCCUACGGGAGGCAGCAGUGGGGAAUAUUGGACAAUGGGCGCAAGCCUGAUCCAGCCAUACCGCGUGUGUGAAGAAGGCCUUCGGGUUGUAAAGCACUUUAAGCAGGGAGAAAAAGUUAUAAGUUAAUACCUUAUAACCCUGAUGUUACCUGCAGAAUAAGCACCGGCUAAUUCCGUGCCAGCAGCCGCGGUAAUACGGAAGGUGCAAGCGUUAAUCGGAAUUACUGGGCGUAAAGCGCGCGUAGGUGGUUUGUUAAGUUGGAUGUGAAAGCCCUGGGCUCAACCUAGGAACUGCAUCCAAAACUAACUCACUAGAGUACGAUAGAGGGAGGUAGAAUUCAUAGUGUAGCGGUGGAAUGCGUAGAUAUUAUGAAGAAUACCAGUGGCGAAAGCGGCCUCCUGGAUCUGUACUGACACUGAGGUGCGAAAGCGUGGGUAGCGAACAGGAUUAGAUACCCUGGUAGUCCACGCCGUAAACGAUGACAACUAGCUGUUGGGAGACUAUGUCUUUCAGUGGCGCAGCUAACGCUUUAAGUUGUCCGCCUGGGGAGUACGGCCGCAAGGCUAAAACUCAAAUGAAUUGACGGGGACCCGCACAAGCGGUGGAGCAUGUGGUUUAAUUCGAUGCAACGCGAAAAACCUUACCUACUCUUGACAUACUUGGAGGCUCUUGUAAUGAGAGUGUGCCUUUUGGAACCAAGAUACAGGUGCUGCAUGGCUGUCGUCAGCUCGUGUCGUGAGAUGUUCCGUUAAGUCGGAUAACGAGCGCAACCCUUACCCUUAUUUGCCAGCGAUUCGGUCGGGAACUAUAAGGGGACUGCCGGUGAUAAACCGGAGGAAGGUGAGGACGACGUCAAAUCAUCAUGGCCCUUACGAGUAGGGCUACACACGUGCUACAAUGGGAGAUACAGACGGACGCUAAGCCGCGAGGUGGUGCUAAUCCUAAAAAGUCUUUCGUAGUCCGGAUUGGAGUCUGCAACUCGACUCCAUGAAGUCGGAAUCGCUAGUAAUCGCGGAUCAGCAUGCCGCGGUGAAUACGUUCUCGGGUCUUGUACACACCGCCCGUCACACCAUGGAAGUGGAUUGCACCAGAAGUAGAUAGUCUAACCUUAGGGAGGGCGUUUACCACGGUGUGCUUCAUGACUGGGGUGAAGUCGUAACAAGGUAACC